This 424-nucleotide ribosomal RNA is filed under the name uncultured bacterium. Its description in RNAcentral is "bacterial SSU rRNA". It matches the Rfam family "Bacterial small subunit ribosomal RNA", at positions 129 to 535 of the family's 1533-position model. The record is from RNAcentral.
CCUUCGAGUGGGGGAUAACGUCCCGAAAGGGACGCUAAUACCGCAUGACAUCCUCUUUUUGAACAGAGAGAGAUCAAAGCCGGGGAUCGCAAGACCCGGCGCUUGAUGAGGGGCUCGCGUCUGAUUAGCUAGUUGGUGGGGUAAUGGCUCACCAAGGCAACGAUCAGUAUCCGGCCUGAGAGGGCGGACGGACACACUGGGACUGAGACACGGCCCAGACUCCUACGGGAGGCAGCAGUGGGGAAUUGUUCACAAUGGGCGCAAGCCUGAUGACGCAACGCCGCGUGGAGGAUGAARGUCUUCGGAUUGUAAACUCCUGUUGCUCGGGAAGAAUAGCUCCGACCUAAUACGUCGGAGUCUGACGGUACCKGGUGAGGAANCCCCGGCUAACUCUGUGCCAGCAGCCGCGUAAUACAGAAGGGGC